This 253-nucleotide ribosomal RNA is filed under the name uncultured bacterium. RNAcentral's name for it is "partial 16S ribosomal RNA". It matches the Rfam family "Bacterial small subunit ribosomal RNA", at positions 524 to 776 of the family's 1533-position model. The record is from RNAcentral.
UACGAAGGAUGCAAGCGUUAUCCGGAUUUAUUGGGUUUAAAGGGUGCGUAGGCGGACUUAUAAGUCAGUGGUGAAAUCUCGUUGCUUAACAACGAACGUGCCAUUGAUACUGUAGGUCUUGAGUACAGAUGCCGUUGGCGGAAUGUGUCAUGUAGCGGUGAAAUGCAUAGAUAUGACACAGAACACCGAUUGCGAAGGCAGCUGACGAAACUGUAACUGACGCUGAGGCACGAAGGCGUGGGGAUCAAACAGG